Small nucleolar RNA from Eublepharis macularius, 138 nucleotides. RefSeq annotates it as small nucleolar RNA SNORA42/SNORA80 family. The transcript has a single exon. The record is from RefSeq and is a predicted model, not a curated record. Lineage: Eukaryota; Metazoa; Chordata; Lepidosauria; Squamata; Eublepharidae.
GCAUGGCUCUGGAUUUAUGGUGGGUCUGAUUCCAUGGCUCUUUCCAUAGUGUACCCCAUGCUAAAGCAAUCUGCUACCCCGAACCAUUGGCUAGUCUGGCUUGUUACAGCCCUAGCUACUGAAGUGGGUGGCACAUGC